Clostridium sp. 27_14 is the source of this 354-nucleotide non-coding RNA. The record is from Rfam. Lineage: Bacteria; Bacillati; Bacillota; Clostridia; Eubacteriales; Clostridiaceae.
GGGGAUGUAAUGGUUUCGACAUACUACUAGAAAUAUAAAUAGCAAGUAGUGGAUUCUCGUUGGCCACUUAAAAAACGAGAAAUUAAAUAUAAAUGCAGAUAAUAAUAGAGAAUUUGCUUUAGCUGCUUAGUUCAGCUACGCUUUACCUUUAGACCUACACUAUUGGAUAAAGUGUCAUUCUUGUAGGAAACAAAACUACUUUUGCUCCUAAAGUAGUAGGUAUUCUAAAGAGCUAUAAUUUUAUUUAUCUUGUUUGUUAGAGAAAUAAAAUUGAAUAUAAAUAACAAACUAAACUUGUAGAAUUUUAUAUGGAAGGUUUUAUGGACAGGAGUUCGACUCUCCUCAUCUCCACCA